Molecule: ribosomal RNA, 253 nt
Filed under: uncultured bacterium
Lineage: Bacteria
Description: partial 16S ribosomal RNA
Rfam family: Bacterial small subunit ribosomal RNA
Source: RNAcentral
UACGUAGGGUGCAAGCGUUGUCCGGAAUUAUUGGGCGUAAAGAGCUCGUAGGCGGUUUGUCGCGUCUGCUGUGAAAAUCCAGGGCUUAACCCUGGACCUGCAGUGGGUACGGGCAGACUAGAGUGCGGUAGGGGAGAUCGGAAUUCCUGGUGUAGCGGUGAAAUGCGCAGAUAUCAGGAGGAACACCGGUGGCGAAGGCGGAUCUCUGGGCCGUAACUGACGCUGAGGAGCGAAAGCCAGGGGAGCAAACGGG